GACGUAGGGCGCGAGCGUUGUCCGGAUUUAUUGGGCGUAAAGAGCUCGUAGGCGGCUUGUCGCGUCGUCCGUGAAAACUUGGGGCUCAACCCCAAGCUUGCGGUCGAUACGGGCAGGCUAGAGUUCGGUAGGGGAGACUGGAAUUCCUGGUGUAGCGGUGAAAUGCGCAGAUAUCAGGAGGAACACCGAUGGCGAAGGCAGGUCUCUGGCCAUUAACUGACGCUGAGGAGCGAAAGCAUGGGGAGCGAACAGG
RNAcentral lists this ribosomal RNA (253 nucleotides) under uncultured bacterium. RNAcentral's name for it is "partial 16S ribosomal RNA". It matches the Rfam family "Bacterial small subunit ribosomal RNA", at positions 524 to 776 of the family's 1533-position model. The record is from RNAcentral.